RNAcentral lists this ribosomal RNA (251 nucleotides) under uncultured prokaryote. Its description in RNAcentral is "partial 16S rRNA". It matches the Rfam family "Bacterial small subunit ribosomal RNA", at positions 525 to 775 of the family's 1533-position model. The record is from RNAcentral.
ACGGAGGGUGCGAGCGUUAAUCGGAAUGACUGGGCGUAAAGGGUGCGUAGGCGGUACUGUCAGUCAGCCGUGAAAUACCUGGGCUUAACCUAGGAAUUGCGGUUGAGACGGCAGAACUAGAGUGUGCUAGAGGACUGUGGAAUUCCUGGUGUAGCGGUGAAAUGCGUAGAGAUCAGGAGGAACACCGAUGGCGAAGGCAGUAGUCUGGGGCAACACUGACGCUGAGGCACGAAGGCGUGGGGAGCAAACAG